UCUGGCGGCAUAGCGCGGUGGUCCCACCUGACCCCAUGCCGAACUCAGAAGUGAAACGCCGUAGCGCCGAUGGUAGUGUGGGGUCUCCCCAUGCGAGAGUAGGGAACUGCCAGAC
This 115-nucleotide ribosomal RNA is filed under the name Escherichia coli. Lineage: Bacteria; Pseudomonadati; Pseudomonadota; Gammaproteobacteria; Enterobacterales; Enterobacteriaceae. RNAcentral also lists the same sequence under 4 other names. The record is from RNAcentral.